GACGAAUGCUGGCUGCGUGCUUAACACAUGCAAGUCGAACGGUGAAGGGGAGCUUGCUCCCCGGAUCAGUGGCGAACGGGCGAGUAACACGUGGGCAACCUGCCCCUCACUCUGGGAUAACUCCGGGAAACCGGGGCUAAUACCGGAUACGACCGGGAGCGACAUCGCUCCUGUUGGCAAGAACUUCGGUGAGGGAUGGGCCCGCAGCCUAUCAGCUAGUUGGUGGGGUAACGGCCCACCAAGGCGACGACGGGUAGCCGGCCUGGGAGGGCGACCGGCCACACUGGGACUGAGACACGGCCCAGACUCCUACGGGAGGCAGCAGUGGGGAAUAUUGCGCAAUGGGCGAAAGCCUGACGCAGCGACGCAGCGUGAGGGACGAAGGCCUUCGGGUUGUAAACCUCUUUCAGCGGGGACGAAGCGAAAGUGACGGUACCCGCAGAAGAAGCACCGGCUAACUACGUGCCAGCCGCCGCCGUAA
RNAcentral lists this ribosomal RNA (481 nucleotides) under uncultured bacterium. Its description in RNAcentral is "partial 16S ribosomal RNA". It matches the Rfam family "Bacterial small subunit ribosomal RNA", at positions 28 to 523 of the family's 1533-position model. The record is from RNAcentral.